UAAGUUCCAAUGAAGAAGAUUAAAUAGUGAAAUCUUUUAGAGACAUUGUGGUUGGUGAAAACAAUGAGAGGAAACUAUGGGACACUUUGGAGGAAGUUAUGAAAAUAACCGUCUGUCGCGUUAAGACAAGAGGGCAUACAGGUUGUAUGAACUAAGGUGGUACCGCGUGAAUAAACGUCCUUAGA
This 185-nucleotide non-coding RNA is filed under the name Coprobacillus sp. Its description in RNAcentral is "T-box sequence". It matches the Rfam family "T-box leader". Rfam says of the family: Uncharged tRNA acts as the effector for transcription antitermination of genes in the T-box leader family. T-boxes are found upstream of many aminoacyl-tRNA synthetase genes and some amino acid biosynthetic genes usually in Gram-positive bacteria. The anticodon of a specific tRNA base pairs to a specifier sequence within the T-box motif, and the NCCA acceptor tail of the tRNA base pairs to a conserved bulge in the T-box antiterminator hairpin. Lineage: Bacteria; Bacillati; Bacillota; Erysipelotrichia; Erysipelotrichales; Coprobacillaceae. The record is from RNAcentral.